AGCAGCCGCGGUAAUUCCAGCUCCAAUAGCGUAUAUUAAAGUUGUUGCAGUUAAAAAGCCCGUAGUUGAAUUUCGGGAUUGACACAUCGGUCGUGCCUUAAGGGGUAUGAACUGGUGUAGUCAAUUUCUCACCUUCUGGAGAACCGCGAUGCCCUUAAUUGGGUGUCGCGGGGAACCAGGACCUUUACUUUGAAAAAAUUAGAGUGUUUAAAGCAGGCAUUUUGCUUGAAUACAUUAGCAUGGAAUAAUAAAAUAGGACGGCAUGAUUCUAUUUUGUUGGUUUCUAGGAUCACCGUAAUGAUUAAUAGGGAUAGUUGGGGGCAUUAGUAUUCAAUUGUCAGAGGUGAAAUUCUUGGAUUUAUUGAAGACUAACUACUGCGAAAGCAUUUGCCAAGGAUGUUUUCAUUAAUCAAGAACGAAAGUUAGGGGAUCGAAGACGAUCAGAUACCGUCGUAGUCUUAACCAUAAACUAUGCCGACUAGGAAUCAGACGAUGUUAAUUUUUAAUGACUCGUUUGGCA
Molecule: ribosomal RNA, 520 nt
Filed under: uncultured Entrophospora
Lineage: Eukaryota; Fungi; Glomeromycota; Glomeromycetes; Entrophosporales; Entrophosporaceae
Description: SSU rRNA
Rfam family: Eukaryotic small subunit ribosomal RNA
Source: RNAcentral